AUGAACCCUGGGUCUCCUCUCCAUACGGCUUGGGCUUCUGGUACCCACCAGAGCCGUACGCACCUUCAUCCUCCCCUUGCACCUUCCUCCCAGAUCCAUACCCAGAGCCACCAUAGCCCUCCUCCUCAGUCUUCCUCCCACCAUACCCAGCGCUACCCCAUAGCUCUCCUCCACCUGCGGCUUCCUUCCGUAGCCAGAGCCGUACUCCGAUCCGCCGUAGGUCUGCUCCACCUGCGGCUUGGACCCGUAGCCGGAGCCGUAGCCCUCCUCCGGCUGCGUCGUGUUCCCGUACCCAGAUCCGUAGCUCUCCUCGGCCUGCGGCUUCCUCCCGUAGCCGGAGCCGUACCCGGACCCGUAGGCGGGCUCCUCCUGCUGCGGCUUCCGGCCGUAGCCAGAUCCGUAGGUGUCCUCCUCGGAGCGCUGGGGCUUGGACCCGUAGCCGGAGCCGUAGGACGGCUGCUCCUCCUGCUGGGGGCGGAAGCCGUAGGCGGGCUGCGGCUUGGAUCCGUAGCCGGAGUCGUCCUCCCCGCCGCCGCCGUAGGACGGGCGCUGCUCCUCCGCCUGAGGGCGGAAGCCGUAUGCGGGCUGGGGCUUGGGCUUGGGCCUGGAUCCGUAGCCGGAGUCAUCCUCGCGGCCGUAGGAGGGCUGCUGCUGCUGCUCGUUCUGGGGGCGGAAGCCGUAGGCGGGCUGGGGCUUCUGGUGGUGGGCGUAGGGGGAGGGCUCCUCGGCGGCGUAGUGGGGCGCGUCGUAGGAGGUGGAGGGGGCGGAGCAGGGGUAGCAGGUCUCGUCGGAGGGCGGGAGCGGGCGGCCGAAGGUGGCGAAGAGGUCGUAGCCGCCGCCGUAGGGCGUGGAGUCGAACUCGUCGAAGUCGUCCGGCUCGUCGCGGGACCUGAGGUUGUAGGCGGUCGCCAUGGCUGCUGCUGCGCUGGUGGGGGAUCGGCGCGGAGAUCAGGGGAGGGGAAGGAGUGGUGUGUGACCUGGGAGUCCAGAAGGGCGCGCGAGCUUAUGCUGCGGUGCGAUGGGAGGGAUGCGAUCGAUUAG
This 1041-nucleotide ribosomal RNA is filed under the name Triticum aestivum (bread wheat). Its description in RNAcentral is "partial small subunit ribosomal RNA". Lineage: Eukaryota; Viridiplantae; Streptophyta; Magnoliopsida; Poales; Poaceae. The record is from RNAcentral.